RNAcentral lists this ribosomal RNA (459 nucleotides) under uncultured bacterium. RNAcentral's name for it is "partial 16S ribosomal RNA". It matches the Rfam family "Bacterial small subunit ribosomal RNA", at positions 338 to 795 of the family's 1533-position model. The record is from RNAcentral.
CCUACGGGUAGCAGCAGUGAGGAAUAUUGGUCAAUGGUCGGGAGACUGAACCAGCCAAGCCGCGUGAGGGAUGAAGGUACAGAGUAUCGUAAACCUCUUUUGUCAGGGAACAAAGGCGGGGACGUGUCCCCGGCUGAGUGUACCUGAAGAAAAAGCAUCGGCUAACUCCGUGCCAGCAGCCGCGGUAAUACGGAGGAUGCGAGCGUUAUCCGGAUUUAUUGGGUUUAAAGGGUGCGCAGGCGGUCUGUUAAGUCAGCGGGCAAAGCCCGGGGAUCAACCCCGGCCCGCCGUUGAAACUGGCAGUCUCGAGUGGGAGAGAAGUAGGCGGAAUGCGCGGUGUAGCGGUGAAAUGCAUAGAUAUCGCGCAGAACUCCGAUUGCGAAGGCAGCAUGCCGGCUCCACACUGACGCUGAGGCACGAAAGCGUGGGUAUCGAACAGGAUUAGAUACCCCUGUAGUC